AAUCUAUCCAAGUUUUCUUUAGAAUUCCUUCUCUGAAGAUGCUGAUCUUGAAGUGGGAAUCUAGAUUGUACUUUCAAGUCGGAACAAGAGUUUACUGAUCCUGCAUCCAUGAUGUUAAUAACAACAAAACAAAUACAACUAAUAAAGGUAAAGAUACAAACCACGAAACUAAAUCCUGUAAAAGAAAAGAGGAUUAGAUAGAAAGAUUUUUAAAAAAAAAAAAUCCAAACAAAAAAUAAAGGUAAAGUAAAGUUGAGAGAAAUAGAGAACACAGGGCUUUGCACCCUUUGGUCUUUGUUGUUGAUUAAUAGAUAGAGAGAAAGAGAGACUAUGAUUGUAAAUUAUCAAGUGAAUUUGUGGGUCUAUAUACUGACUAGAAUCGCAAUUAGGGUUUCUGAUGUGCUUGGUUUGUUGAACUAUUGAUCGCCGUCAAGAGGAAUGUAUCAGGAUUACUG
RNAcentral lists this unclassified non-coding RNA (455 nucleotides) under Hevea brasiliensis (rubber tree). Lineage: Eukaryota; Viridiplantae; Streptophyta; Magnoliopsida; Malpighiales; Euphorbiaceae. The record is from RNAcentral.